Molecule: RNase P RNA, 358 nt
Filed under: Vicinamibacteria bacterium
Lineage: Bacteria; Pseudomonadati; Acidobacteriota; Vicinamibacteria
Description: partial RNase P RNA component class A
Rfam family: Bacterial RNase P class A
About the family: Ribonuclease P (RNase P) is a ubiquitous endoribonuclease, found in archaea, bacteria and eukarya as well as chloroplasts and mitochondria. Its best characterised activity is the generation of mature 5'-ends of tRNAs by cleaving the 5'-leader elements of precursor-tRNAs.
Source: RNAcentral
GGAGUUGGCUGGACGAUCGCUUCGAACAACGCAUUCGUCGGAGAGGAAAGUCCGGACUCCACGGUGGUCUUAAGUGACGACAAGGGCUGUGUGCUGGCUAACCGCCAGCGGGGGCGACCUCAGGGACAGUGCCACAGAAAAAGAUACCGCCGCGGCGACCGCGAGGUUGUCGAGGUAAGGGUGAAAAGGUGCGGUAAGAGCGCACCGCCGCGGUGGCGACAUUCGCGGGACAGGGAAAACCCCACACGGAGCAAGACCAAAUAGGGGGGCGAUAAGAGGCGAUGGCCCAUCGCUCAGGCCCCCGGGUUGGUUGCAUGAGGCCGCGAGCAAUCGCGGUCCUUAGAGGGAUGAUCGUCCA